AGUAUGUGACAGUGACAUCAAAUUCCGUUUCCUCCUACUUUUGACUCCAUUUUUUCAUUAAAUUUCCUCAUUUUUCUUCUGACAUCCAAGAUGAAAGUAUAUCGGUGGUUGCGUGAACUGCCACGUGCAGGCAUGCAUAACAAAUUAAAUAAGAAAGGCUUAAUGUGUUUGCCAACCAAUCUAGAAAUUUGUGGAAAAUGGACAAGAUAUGUUUAGCGAACUACAAACAGCCUUUGACAAAGUGAGAGAAGAACAUAAUUAUGAUAAUGACAUAAUGGGGGAUUGCAAUGCAAGAAUUGGAUAUGCCAUCAACAAGUAUUGAGCAGUAUGGGGGAAAUGUUGAGAAUAUAAAUGAUGUAAACUGUUGCUACACAAUCCUGUAGAAUUGUGGGGAAUUGCUGCCUUUUUAGAUCUUCAGUUAUGAUUAGAAUUCUUAAGAUGUAAACUGUUCGUACACAAUCUUGUAGACGUGGGGAAUGGUUGUCUUUGGUUCUCUAAUUAUCAUAGAAUUGUUAAGAUCUAUCCUUCUAUUGCUGAUUCAAUAAGAACUCCAUGAGAUUCAGCUGCUAUAACGAAUGGACAGUUUUAUGGUAGAAGUAUUGUUUAUCUAUCAACUUACAAUGAUAUAGGGCUCCACAUACACACAGGAAUAUAUGAAACUCUACACCAAUAGUUGACAACUAUAAAGUAGAUUCACAUGAUCUAUCCUUCUAUUACUGAUUCAAUAAGAACUCGGUGAGAUUCAACUGCUAUAGGAUUUUAUUGAACAAGAUAUACCCAAUGACAUAGGACUCCACAUACACAGGGGAAUAUGGAACUCUACACCAAAUAGUUUACUACUAUAGUGUAGAUUCACAUGGUACUAUUAUGUAAUGAUAUAUGAGAAAAGAUUGUAACUAAGAUUAUUAACUAUUAAAAAAAGUUAAAGCAAUAAA
Long non-coding RNA from Diabrotica virgifera virgifera (western corn rootworm), 935 nucleotides. RefSeq lists it as uncharacterized. The record is from RefSeq and is a predicted model, not a curated record. The transcript is spliced from 7 exons. Lineage: Eukaryota; Metazoa; Arthropoda; Insecta; Coleoptera; Chrysomelidae.